This 354-nucleotide unclassified non-coding RNA is filed under the name soil metagenome. RNAcentral describes it as "partial contains 5.8S ribosomal RNA, internal transcribed spacer 2, and large subunit ribosomal RNA". The stretch from base 1 to 120 matches the Rfam family "5.8S ribosomal RNA", at positions 35 to 154 of the family's 154-position model. The record is from RNAcentral.
GAUGUAGAACGUAGCGAAAUGCGAUAAGUAAUGUGAAUUGCAGAAUUCCGUGAAUCAUCGAAUCUUUGAACGCACAUUGCGCCCCCUGGCAUUCCGGGGGGCAUGCCUGUCCGAGCGUCAUUUCUGCCCUCCAGCCCGGCUGGGUGUUGGGCGCUGUCCCCCCGGGGACACGCCCCAAAGGCAGUGGCGGCGCCGCGUCGGGUCCUCGAGCGUAUGGGGCUUUGUCACCCGCUCGGGACGGACUCGUCGGCGCUGGUCUUCCUCCAGGCGACCCUUCGGGGCUCGUCUUCCUUCGGUUGACCUCGGAUCAGGUAGGGUUACCCGCUGAACUUAAGCAUAUCAAUAAGCGGAGGA